CCUCUCCUGAUCUCCCUCUGCCGUCAGCAGCAAAGCUUUGCACCGCCUGCCUCACACUGGCCAUUCUUCCUGUGGGGCCACCGCGUCCCUCUGGCUGCUUUACCCCUCCAGCUUGACCAGUGAUGUCUCCUGCUCCAGCUUCCUCUUUUCUCAUCCCCAACUGUGACCCAAGGCCCUGCUCCUCCAGCCGUCCCCGGUUUUCCUCCUUGCCUGCUACCACCCACACAUCCAGCCUCCCAGGAGCAGUGCUCUCUGUGCUGCUGUUGGCUUCCGAAAGUUGGAUUUUAAAAUCCAGCUCAAUUCCGUCCAAAAAUGCUUCCCAGUCUCAGCCUUUAAACCAGAAGGGCCAGGCAGGCCAGCUGCUGGACUCAGGCACAUGGGAAAGCUGCUCCUCUGGGGCAGCGCUUCGGAGGAGCAGGCACUGAACAGCCAGACACAAAACAGACAAGGUGCGUUUCUGAUGGGGGUGGUGCACAGCCACCAAAGUGAUCCCGAGAAGCGACUGCUGGGAGCAGCGAGCACCCCCAGCACCUUCCUUCCACCUGGUGUGGUCGCCCACAGUAGUGCGGCAUGAGACCUGAAGAAUGGACGCCAGAGGCCACCUGCGCACUCACCUGAACCUCUGCGCCUGGUGGUGCACGGGGCCUCCGAAGCGCCGCGCAGGCGAGUGGUACAGCUGCGAAAGGAGCGCCACGUUUUUGUUCUGGUUGGGGUUGGCUGCGAACUUCACUGUGAUGGGCUCGGAGGAACCUGGGGGUUUAUGACCAUUGAAACUGGUAAUUGCCUCUUCUGCUUCUGACCGUUUGUCAAACCGGAUAAACGCAACCCCUCUGGACAAACCUUUUUAACAAACCAACAAAAAUGGAGUUAGGGGAAAAAAACGAGGACUUGUAAAACUGAAAAGCAAAAGUCAAGUCAGUCUACUGCAGUUCAAACUGGAUGUCUGGUCAACGAAAUAAACAAAAUUUAACCCUAAAGAAAAAAUAAAUGAACUGAUUAAGGCAAAUACACAGUGACUGAUGAAGGCUGAGGCUUCACUCUUCUAGCUGAAAAGGGCUCCACAGUCCCAGCGUAAGGGAUAUUUUGGUGACAAACCAAAUAGGUACCCAAACCUAUUUUUUAAAAAAAGCAGUAUCAGCAGAGGCCACAUCUACUGUCCCUCCUCAGCCAGCAGGGCCAGUGUGGGGCACAGAUGUGCUG
Molecule: long non-coding RNA, 1200 nt
Filed under: Heterocephalus glaber (naked mole-rat)
Lineage: Eukaryota; Metazoa; Chordata; Mammalia; Rodentia; Bathyergidae
Description: lncRNA (ENSHGLG00100045033.1)
Source: RNAcentral